GGAGAAAUAGGGAGCAGGGGGGGCGGGAAUAUGUGGGGACCGAGGCGGUGGCGGAUAGAUUGGGCGUAAAGGGGGGGGAGGGGGGACCUGAAGGCCUGCGGGAAAUCCGGCGGGUGAAACGGAGAGGGUCGUGGGAAACUGGAGGGCUAGAGUGCGGGGGAGGGGAGGGGAAUUCCCGGUGUAGCGGUGAAAUGCGCAGAAAUCGGGAAGAACACCUGGGGCGAAGGCGGCUCUCUGGAACGCAACUGACGCUGAGACGCGAAAGCGUGGGGAGCAAACAGGAUUAGAUACCCUGUAGUC
This 300-nucleotide ribosomal RNA is filed under the name uncultured Rubritalea sp. RNAcentral's name for it is "partial 16S ribosomal RNA". The stretch from base 53 to 300 matches the Rfam family "Bacterial small subunit ribosomal RNA", at positions 547 to 795 of the family's 1533-position model. Lineage: Bacteria; Pseudomonadati; Verrucomicrobiota; Verrucomicrobiia; Verrucomicrobiales; Rubritaleaceae. The record is from RNAcentral.